Molecule: long non-coding RNA, 401 nt
Organism: Hyaena hyaena (striped hyena)
Lineage: Eukaryota; Metazoa; Chordata; Mammalia; Carnivora; Hyaenidae
Exons: 2
Source: RefSeq, a predicted model, not a curated record
CAGAGAGGUCCCUAGCUGACUGACAGAUGGUCCAGCAUUGGCCAAUUGAAGAGAAAUAGAGUGGACCCUGGGCUAAUGUUGUUAAAAGCAGGCUGCAGGACUCAUUUGGACCUUCCCUGUAAAAACAUGCCCAGUCCUUCCCCAGACAAGCCAGAAUGCCUCCAGAAACAUUUCUCCAGGCCAUGUCUGUGGAAGCAAUUUCUGCCCCUGCCUCGGGCUGAGGGAUAUAAUGCCAGUAUUCUCCAAGCCAUGGAAAAUGAAGGAAGCCCCAAGACUGUGCGUGACGUCAAGACACAAAGAGAGGAAGGGAGAAGAUGAGAAACGGCGGAUCCUACUCCUCACGUCCAGUAAAAGGAAGUCAGAAGAGACUGUGGUCAUGUUUAAAAAAAAAAAAUCCUUAA